Molecule: long non-coding RNA, 531 nt
Filed under: Dermacentor andersoni
Lineage: Eukaryota; Metazoa; Arthropoda; Arachnida; Ixodida; Ixodidae
Description: uncharacterized LOC126544921
Source: RNAcentral
AUUUUUUGUGUGAAUUAACGAUCACUAAGCCCUGGGUCCUGUGCAAUGCUAUUAGCUCGCUGUAUGUUUCUUGCGGUGCGCCGUUGUUGAUUAUCGUAGUGCGGUCCACACGCGCUUUCUUUGUGCCCGGCUCAUGAGAAGUGUUGUACUCUCGCCGCUCCCGCAUCGGCUCACAGUGCACGGAAGAAUGUGUUGAUAGUUGUGCUAUCGCGUACUGUAGUUCACCGCAAUUCAACACUACGCUGGACGGACUGUUCGUGCAGUCGAUGCGGCGUGAACGGACACGAAGGAGCGCUCGCCUCAGAAGGGAUGUCACAAUUUCCUGAGACGGAGGCAUCUCUGCACCACAAAGGAGACUGCGGCACUAUGCAGCCUGAACAGCACGACAAAGCAUCUGAUCUGCCUGCUUUGACAAGAUGUGGCUGGGCCUGCAGAAAGAGUGUAAGCAGACUACAGUGUUGCUGAUCAGUGCUGGUGCUGAUCUCUACGUCUGAGUUGGCCUCACAACGUCCAGGCGCCACUGUGCUUUGC